GCCCGCCGCACACACCCCUCUCUCCUUGUUACACUUCACCGUCCUCCUGAACGGACUACUGGGAAAGCUACUUUUGUUACGUUAAUCUUCUCUCUUUCCCUGGAUUUUUUUUUGUAUCUGUUUUGACACUUUGUUUCCUCUCUUAAUCCGCCUCUUUUCUUUAAGUGCCAUCUCUCAGCGGUAUCUUCAUCCUCUGUUUUUCCAAAAACACAGCCAAAAGGGAAACAGCCUUAAUAGCAUAAAAUACAACCCCAAAUUGGAGCCAACAUGGAGCAAGUCGGAGCAGUUCAGCAGCCGGGAACACUGCGUUCACAGGGGGCAAAGAUCCCGGCCAAAGACGUUUGCAGCAUGGACGAACAACAAGGGAUCCCCCUCUGCUCUGCCGCUGCUGGAGUGGAUUCGCAAACAGACGCAAACAGGUGCACGGACACACACAGACGAGUCUCCACUCCAGGAAUACCACAGCAGCAGCCCUGGAGCAGCUGCUGUGACCAGGUGGAGGGCUGAAACCCCGCCUCUGGUUGUGGCCGUAGCCAUGGUAACAAAACAGGACCUGACCAAUGGCUGCUGUGCCCCAGGAGGACGACUGGGGGUGAAGCCUGUGUUUGACAUCCAAAGCUGUCCAGAUGAUACAGGCCACCCACGUUCAACCACAUUCCUGCCAAAUGAUGAUAAUGAGAAGCUGUGAGCGACUUGUUGUAUGUUCCUAUUGGCGCCUGAUUUCAGUCCAACAAUUAGCAGGAGCAAAUUUGGCAACACCCAAAGACACACAGGGGCAUUGCAAACCACAGAGUCACCAGUCUUACAAAGUCUUGUUUUCAACUGUUUGUUUCCCACACGGACCAACUGUGUUUUAAGGAUUUGCAUUGUGUAAAGACUACUAGUAAAAUAUGCUGUAAUAUGGAAAGUUUUUUCGAAAAAAAGUAGAAUGGAGCAAGAAAAAUUAAACACAAGACUUUUAUGUGUCACGGACCACUGGGAAACCGGCAACUUAUAGAUCAACUGUCUGGUUGGUCUGGGUGAGAAUGAAACGGAAAGAGACGCAGUGAAAAAAACUAAAUAAAAAAAACAGAAUGAUGUUUGU
Fundulus heteroclitus (mummichog) is the source of this 1084-nucleotide long non-coding RNA. RefSeq lists it as uncharacterized. The record is from RefSeq and is a predicted model, not a curated record. Lineage: Eukaryota; Metazoa; Chordata; Actinopteri; Cyprinodontiformes; Fundulidae. The transcript has 3 exons.